GAUGAAGAACGCAGCGAAAUGCGAUAAGUAAUGUGAAUUGCAGAAUUCAGUGAAUCAUCGAGUCUUUGAACGCACAUUGCGCCCCCUGGUAUUCCGGGGGGCAUGCCUGUCCCAGCGUCAUUGCCGCCCUCAAGCACGGCUUGUGUGUUGGGCCCCCGCCCCCCGGCUUCGGGGGGCGGGCCCGAAAGGCAGCGGCGGCACCGCGUCCGGUCCUCGAGCGUAUGGGGCUUCGUCACCCGCUCUGUAGGCCCGGCCGGCGCCCGCCGGCGACCCCAAUCAAUCUUUCCAGGUUGACCUCGGAUCAGGUAGGGAUACCCGCUGAACUUAAGCAUAUCAAUAAGCGGAGGA
This 348-nucleotide unclassified non-coding RNA is filed under the name soil metagenome. Its description in RNAcentral is "partial contains 5.8S ribosomal RNA, internal transcribed spacer 2, and large subunit ribosomal RNA". The stretch from base 1 to 120 matches the Rfam family "5.8S ribosomal RNA", at positions 35 to 154 of the family's 154-position model. The record is from RNAcentral.